Molecule: ribosomal RNA, 200 nt
Filed under: uncultured Glomus
Lineage: Eukaryota; Fungi; Glomeromycota; Glomeromycetes; Glomerales; Glomeraceae
Description: partial small subunit ribosomal RNA
Rfam family: Eukaryotic small subunit ribosomal RNA
Source: RNAcentral
CCAAUAGCGUAUAUUAAAGUUGUUGCAGUUAAAAAGCUCGUAGUUGAAUUUCGAGAUCAGUACGCUGGUCGUGCCUUCGGUACUAUGCACUGGUGUCACUGGUUUCUCCCUUCUGAAGAACCGUAAUGCCAUUCAGUUGGUGUGGCGGGGAAUCAGGAUUGUUACUUUGAAAAAAUUAGAGUGUUUAAAGCAGGCUCGUG